AACGCACGAGACCUGCGGACCUGCGGAGGGAUCAUCAAAAAGAGAAGGGGGGAAGGUGUGAAAGUUUUCUUUCACCUCUCUCUCCUUUUUUAUUAAUUUUUUCUUUCUUUCCCUUUUUUCUAUAUACUACUCCUAGGAGUUGUAAUUAGAGAAAAAGGGGGUGAAGAAAAGAAACUUGUCGACUUCUUGUUGUCCCCUUUUUAGGAGAGUUUCUUUUAAAAAGGGGUAGACCCUUUUCCC
RNAcentral lists this unclassified non-coding RNA (240 nucleotides) under soil metagenome. Its description in RNAcentral is "partial contains 5.8S ribosomal RNA, internal transcribed spacer 2, and large subunit ribosomal RNA". The record is from RNAcentral.